This 923-nucleotide ribosomal RNA is filed under the name Pediococcus acidilactici. RNAcentral describes it as "bacterial SSU rRNA". It matches the Rfam family "Bacterial small subunit ribosomal RNA", at positions 553 to 1469 of the family's 1533-position model. Lineage: Bacteria; Bacillati; Bacillota; Bacilli; Lactobacillales; Lactobacillaceae. The record is from RNAcentral.
AUAGGGCGUAAAGCGAGGGCAGGGCGGUCUUUUAAGUCUAAUGUGAAAACCUCUCGGCUCUAGUGAAGAAGUGCAUUGGAACCUGGGAGAUUUGAGUGCAGACGAGGAGCAGGUGGAACUCCAUAUGUAGCGGUGAAAUUCGUAUAUAUAUGGAAGACCACCAGUGUCGAAGGCGUCUGUCUGGUCUGUUUCUGAAGCUGAGGCUUCAAUGCAUGGGUAGACAACAGGAUUAGAUACCGGGGUACUUCCAUGCUGUAAACGCAUGAUUACUAAGUGUCAGAGGGUUUCCUCUCUUCAGUGCUGCAGCUAUCGCAUUAAGUAAUCCGCCUGGGGAGUACGUCCGCAAGGUUGAAACUCAUAAGAAUUGACGGGGGCCCGCACAAGCGGUGGAGCCUGUGGUUUAAUUCGAAGCUACCCGAAGAACCUUACCAGGUCUUGACAUCUUCUGCCAACCUAAGAGAUUAGGCGUUCCCUUCGUGGACAGAAUAACAGGUGGUCCAUGGUUGUUGUCACCUUGUGUCCAGAGAUGUUGGGUUAAGUCCCGCUCCGAGCGCAACCCUUAUUACUAGUUCCCAGCAUUCAGUUGGGCACUCUAGUGAGACUGCCGGUGACAAGCCGGAGGAAGGUGGGGACGACAGCAAAUCAUCAUGCCCCUUAUGACCUGGGCUACACACGUAUCACAAUGGAUGGUACACGGAGUCGCGACACCUAGAGGUUUAGCUAAUCUCUCAACCCCAUUCUCAGUUAGGACCGUAGUCUGCAACUAACCCACACGAAGUUGUAAUUUCUAGUAAUCGCGGAUCAUCAUGCAGCGGUGUAUACGUUCCCGGGCCUUGUUCACACCGCCCGUCUCACCAUGAUAGUUCGUAACCCCCAAAAAGGGUGGGGUCACUUCCAAGGAUCUAGCCGUCUAAGGUGCUCAG